This 367-nucleotide unclassified non-coding RNA is filed under the name uncultured Microglossum. RNAcentral describes it as "sequence contains ITS2". The stretch from base 1 to 154 matches the Rfam family "5.8S ribosomal RNA". The record is from RNAcentral. Lineage: Eukaryota; Fungi; Ascomycota; Leotiomycetes; Myxotrichaceae.
AACUUUUGGCAAUGGAUCACUUGGUUCUGGCAUCGAUGAAGAACGCAGCGAAAUGCGAUAAGUAAUGUGAAUUGCAGAAUUCAGCGAAUCAUCGAAUCUUUGAACGCACAUUGCACCCUCUGGCAUUCCGGGGGGUAUGCCUGUUCGAGCGUCAUUACAACCCUCAAGCCUUGCUUGGUGUUGGGUGCCACCUGUCACAGGGUGCACCUCAAAAUCAGUGGCGGUGCGGCCUGGCUUCAAGCGUAGUAACUCUUCUCGCUCCGGAGCCCAGGCGGCAUACCUCCCAACAACCUCAAACACAUCAAAGGUUGACCUCGGAUCAGGUAGGGAUACCCGCUGAACUUAAGCAUAUCAAUAAGCGGAGGCU